GCCUGUGGCUUAAUGGGUAGGGCGUUGGUCCCAUAUACCAAGGGUGGCAGGUUCGAACCCAGCCCUGGC
RNAcentral lists this transfer RNA (69 nucleotides) under Otolemur garnettii (small-eared galago). It matches the Rfam family "tRNA". Rfam says of the family: Transfer RNA (tRNA) molecules are approximately 80 nucleotides in length. Their secondary structure includes four short double-helical elements and three loops (D, anti-codon, and T loops). Lineage: Eukaryota; Metazoa; Chordata; Mammalia; Primates; Galagidae. The record is from Rfam by way of RNAcentral.